Molecule: non-coding RNA, 24 nt
Filed under: Arabidopsis thaliana (thale cress)
Lineage: Eukaryota; Viridiplantae; Streptophyta; Magnoliopsida; Brassicales; Brassicaceae
Source: RNAcentral
AGCCUAGCUGAAGAUGACAACACA